AUGCGGGCCGCCCCGGUGAUGACACGUGUCAUCAUCGUGGCGGGUCUAGGGGUGAGCCGGACAAGCUAGUCCGUUGACCAGGAUUGACGCGGGCCGCAUAAUCCCUGUCCAUUCUUUACGCGGGCCGCGUGGGAACCAGUUUCAGCAACUAUAUAAGGAACGCAUCGGAUUUCAAUUCAGUUCGUUCAUUUCUCAAUUCUCAAAUCACAAUUUCUGUAGUAGGCUUAUUAUACUCGGGUAUUAUACCCCUAAUUAGCGAAGCUCUGCCUCGUUAUUAUAACCAGGAAGCCACAAAGGAAAUACCUAAAAUAGCAAUGUAACACAAUGUGAAAGCCAAUUAGAAUAGAGCCAGCUCGAGAGCACUGACGGCUUGGAAGAACGUGGCUAUAAAAGUUACCUAAAAGACGAUGUUUUAAAUUCAAUAAAAUAAGGGUUAUCCCUAUAAACAUGUUGUAAUAAAAAUCUUGGGUUUUACCCAUGUGAUUAUAAAAAUAAAAUAUGGUGGUUUUACUCUGAUAAA
This 520-nucleotide long non-coding RNA is filed under the name Helianthus annuus (common sunflower). The record is from RNAcentral. Lineage: Eukaryota; Viridiplantae; Streptophyta; Magnoliopsida; Asterales; Asteraceae.